Molecule: long non-coding RNA, 524 nt
Filed under: Olea europaea subsp. europaea
Lineage: Eukaryota; Viridiplantae; Streptophyta; Magnoliopsida; Lamiales; Oleaceae
Source: RNAcentral
GGUGAUUGAGAAUUUUUUAGAAAAAUUGGGUGUUAAAAAACUAAAUCAUUUUUUUCUCUAUUUGUGAAGCAGAAAGGGAAUGAAACCACAUUGGAGCGAUUAGUCGCCAUUCCUUCUCAUGCCCAAACCGAUCGCUACAACGAUGGUCACCUAUUAGUCGUCGUUCCUUCGCCAUGCCGGUGCAGUAGUCUAACUCAGAUGUCAGAUCCACCAAGUCCUCGACUUCCAUCUUCGUCAAAAUCUGACUCAGAUCCACCAAUAACUCUUUACUUGCAAUAUUCUUUCAGUUAUUAGCAUAUAACUUAUCAGUUGUUCUACAAUCUAUUCAAAUCUGACUAGAUAAUUUUCUAAUUUCAAUAAAUUCGAGGUCUUUAGUGUUUCUUUUGUUUUCAUUUGAAUUUUAUUUUUGAUUAUGUUAUUAGUAGAUGCUAGCGUGAUAAUUAUUAUUGUGUGUCGAGAAUUUUAUCUCCUGAGACUCUUAAAAUUAUUAUUGUUGAAGGUGAUGAUCACCAAGCCUGUUUGGG